Molecule: ribosomal RNA, 649 nt
Filed under: Salmonella enterica subsp. enterica serovar Senftenberg
Lineage: Bacteria; Pseudomonadati; Pseudomonadota; Gammaproteobacteria; Enterobacterales; Enterobacteriaceae
Description: bacterial LSU rRNA
Rfam family: Bacterial large subunit ribosomal RNA
Source: RNAcentral
CGUACAAGCAGUGGGAGCACAGGUUUACCUGUGUGACUGCGUACCUUUUGUAUAAUGGGUCAGCGACUUAUAUUCUGUAGCAAGGUUAACCGUAUAGGGGAGCCGGAGGGAAACCGAGUCUUAAUUGGGCGUUAAGUUGCAGGGUAUAGACCCGAAACCCGGUGAUCUAGCCAUGGGCAGGUUGAAGGUUGGGUAACACUAACUGGAGGACCGAACCGACUAAUGUUGAAAAAUUAGCGGAUGACCUGUGGCUGGGGGUGAAAGGCCAAUCAAACCGGGAGAUAGCUGGUUCUCCCCGAAAGCUAUUUAGGUAGCGCCUCGUGAAUUCAUCUCCGGGGGUAGAGCACUGUUUCGGCUAGGGGGCCAUCCCGGCUUACCAACCCGAUGCAAACUGCGAAUACCGGAGAAUGUUAUCACGGGAGACACACGGCGGGUGCUAACGUCCGUCGUGAAGAGGGAAACAACCCAGACCGCCAGCUAAGGUCCCAAAGUCAUGGUUAAGUGGGAAACGAUGUGGGAAGGCCCAGACAGCCAGGAUGUUGGCUUAGAAGCAGCCAUCAUUUAAAGAAAGCGUAAUAGCUCACUGGUCGAGUCGGCCUGCGCGGAAGAUGUAACGGGGCUAAACCAUGCACCGAAGCUGCGGCAGCGA